GGGUCAGUAGGUUGGUCGUGCCACCGGUACGUACUGGUCUCACUGAUUCCUCCUUCCUGAAGAACCGUAAUGCCAUUAAUUUGGUGUUGCGGGGAAACAGGACUGUUACUUUGAAAAAAUUAGAGUAUUUAAAGCAAGCUAACGCUUGAAUACAUUAGCAUGGAGUAAUGAAAUAGGACGAUCGAUCCUAUUUUGUUGGUUUCUAGGAUUGACGUA
RNAcentral lists this ribosomal RNA (216 nucleotides) under Glomeromycotina sp. Its description in RNAcentral is "partial small subunit ribosomal RNA". Lineage: Eukaryota; Fungi; Glomeromycota. The record is from RNAcentral.